Molecule: long non-coding RNA, 366 nt
Organism: Neofelis nebulosa (Clouded leopard)
Lineage: Eukaryota; Metazoa; Chordata; Mammalia; Carnivora; Felidae
Exons: 2
Source: RefSeq, a predicted model, not a curated record
GUGAUAUUAUCACGAAUGGUCAGGGAAACUGAUUGUCCAUUGACACUCAGUUUCACAGUGAAAAUUCAGCUUUCCUAAUUUCCAGACUUCUUCCCAGGCCCAGUUGAAGAACCAUAUCCUUUAUGAAGCUGCCCCUGACUCUCUUCCUUUUCUAAAUGGCUACAGUAUUCAUGGCCCUUGCCCCACCAUAGCCCACUUGGUACAUACAUUGCAUUUUUGUGUAUGCUCCAACUCCUGGAAAUCAUGUAAAGUUGUAUAUGUCUUCAUAUAAUGAGAACUUAAUAAAUUAUUUCAUGGAAUACAUCAAAGACCCAAGACCAAAUUAAAAGGUCUACACCCGAAGUAAAAACUUUUAAAGAUCCUUUA